This 429-nucleotide ribosomal RNA is filed under the name Gemmatimonadota bacterium. RNAcentral's name for it is "Gemmatimonadetes bacterium partial 16S ribosomal RNA". It matches the Rfam family "Bacterial small subunit ribosomal RNA", at positions 355 to 776 of the family's 1533-position model. Lineage: Bacteria; Pseudomonadati; Gemmatimonadota. The record is from RNAcentral.
UAGGGAAUCUUCGGCAAUGGACGAAAGUCUGACCGAGCAACGCCGCGUGAGUGAAGAAGGUUUUCGGAUCGUAAAACUCUGUUGUUAGAGAAGAACAAGGACGUUAGUAACUGAACGUCCCCUGACGGUAUCUAACCAGAAAGCCACGGCUAACUACGUGCCAGCAGCCGCGGUAAUACGUAGGUGGCAAGCGUUGUCCGGAUUUAUUGGGCGUAAAGCGAGCGCAGGCGGUUUCUUAUGUCUGAUGUGAAAGCCCCCGGCUCAACCGGGGAGGGUCAUUGGAAACUGGGAGACUUGAGUGCAGAAGAGGAGAGUGGAAUUCCAUGUGUAGCGGUGAAAUGCGUAGAUAUAUGGAGGAACACCAGUGGCGAAGGCGGCUCUCUGGUCUGUAACUGACGCUGAGGCUCGAAAGCGUGGGGAGCAAACAGG